UACGGGGGGAGCAAGCGUUGUUCGGAUUUACUGGGCGUAAAGGGCGCGUAGGCGGUCAGCACAAGUCAGUUGUGAAAUUUCCGGGCUUAACUCGGAAAGGUCAACUGAUACUGUGCGACUAGAGUGCAGAAGGGGCAACUGGAAUUCUCGGUGUAGCGGUGAAAUGCGUAGAUAUCGAGAGGAACACCUGCGGCGAAGGCGGGUUGCUGGGCUGACACUGACGCUGAUGCGCGAAAGCCAGGGGAGCGAACGGG
Molecule: ribosomal RNA, 254 nt
Filed under: uncultured bacterium
Lineage: Bacteria
Description: partial 16S ribosomal RNA
Rfam family: Bacterial small subunit ribosomal RNA
Source: RNAcentral